UACAGAGGUCUCAAGCGUUGUUCGGAUUCAUUGGGCGUAAAGGGUGCGUAGGCGGCGGGGCAAGUCUGGUGUGAAAUCCCGGGGCUCAACCCUGGAACUGCACUGGAUACUGCUUUGCUGGAGCGCUGGAAAGGGAACUGGAAUUUACGGUGUAGCAGUGAAAUGCGUAGAGAUCGUAAGGAAGACCAGUGGCGAAGGCGAGUUCCUGGACAGUUGCUGACGCUGAGGCACGAAGGCCAGGGGAGCAAACGGG
Molecule: ribosomal RNA, 253 nt
Filed under: uncultured prokaryote
Description: partial 16S ribosomal RNA
Rfam family: Bacterial small subunit ribosomal RNA
Source: RNAcentral